Molecule: non-coding RNA, 1870 nt
Organism: Heterocephalus glaber (naked mole-rat)
Lineage: Eukaryota; Metazoa; Chordata; Mammalia; Rodentia; Bathyergidae
Source: RefSeq, a predicted model, not a curated record
UUUGUGCUCCGCAUCCAAUUCACCAGCACUUCCUGUUUGCUAAUUUCCUAGUUAUGUCUUCACCUGCUAUCACACCUACCUGGACUUCCCACCUAGUUUACGAUGUACGGACUGUGUGAGCUUGGCAGGUCACUUUACUUUGAUCCUGGGCUUUUUCAGCCACCCCACAGAAGGCGAGAACAUCCCUCAUGGGUGUGGAGAGGACCCGGGAGUCAUGCGCACUGUGCUGGGCAGAGUGUACUCAGGAAUUGGACCCCACAGCUUUGUCAGGGCACCCUCACGUCUCCCCUGCAUUGUCCUCCAGCCAGCAGACUGUCUCCUGUUCUUUCCCUCCAGGACAGCUGGAGAGCUCCUUCUGCCAGGAAAGGCAGGGCCCCAGCCACUCCAGCCUGGGGAUGAAGCCUGGCUCCCUGGGGUUGUAGAAGGCUGUGUUUGUCCUGUGGACCCUGUGGCCUCCCCUUCCAAGAUACUUCCAGAGUCUCCCAGUGCUUUGCUGACGGGGUGACACUAACAGCAGAGCUGGAGAAACAUUUUCCCAAGACACCAGAUGCAUCCUCGCCCUCCAUGAAUAUCCCUUGGACCUCUGCUGAGGACACAAUGGACACUAAAGCAUCUGUCUAUGCCUGAGAUCCUCUCUCAACAGCUACCACAGAGAAUACCCAGGAGAGACACAAAUACAACGGAGCAAAGGACCAGGUCUUUUACCAUCUUCUUGCAUGGGAGAGCCAUCUUCUUCCUCUAUGAUGUCAUUCCCCUGGGACAGAAGGAAGGGCUUAUGAGUCUAACAAAGCUGUCAGAAGAGGAGCUAUCCCCAAGAGCUAAAACCUCUUGUCUCAGGCACAGUACUGGGCCUGCGAGAAGUAAGCCUCCUCCAGCUGGCCCAGGUUAGUCCCCAGCUGAGGCACUGGCACGUGCAGCUGCUCCCUGCUCCCUCAUACCUUCCGGGGAGGAAAUGGUGGAUGACAGCGGGGUCCCUGUGCAGGAAGACUGAUCAACAGCCCCCGAUGAGGACAGGGUGAGAUUCUCACUUUCUGGAGUUACGCCACAUUCCUGGGGGUGAGGGACACAAUGGGACAUGGAGGAGGGUCAAAUCAAGGGUCUUGGAGGAACAGGGUAAGAACAGGGGGCUGGGUGGGGACCAGGAGGAAAGGAGACACCGGAAGGGACAAGGUCCCUUAUUGUGGAGGACUGGAGUGACAUGAGAGCCAGUGCUGGCUUCUCUCCUGUCAACACCCCUCUUCAGUGUGGGUCUGGAGCGACUGGCUCCCAGGGGAGGUGCAAACUUCAGUCAGCACCUCCUGCCUUCGGCCCAGCAUCUGCUGAAGCCAUACAAAGACUGCAGCUCCAGUGACACUGGCCACCCAGCAGCUGUGACAUGGGGACACCCCCGGCUUCCCCAGGAUUAAGAACAGCUUUCCUCCCAAAGCAAAGGCACAUAAAACCAGCAGGGGCUCACUGCCUGCAGGACAUUUCUACAUGGAUGUCGGCUGAGUGGAAUUUACCCAAUCCAUCUCAAAAAACACCCUGGCCCCACCCCCCACCUGCCAGUCACUCAGGCCCAGGGCCUAGCCACCCCAGGCAGAAGCGAAGUCCUCCUACCCACUCUCUACAAUCCAUUCCUUCUCCAGGCAGGCCUCCUUCACUUGGGGCACUGGCCGCUUCCUGGCUUCGUCUGUUCCUAACCCAGUCUGCAUGUAUCUGUGAGGCGGGGCUCUGUGAGGCAGAGCUCUUGCUGCAACCCUGCCUGCUCCAAGCCUCCACCUGGAUGGUUUUUUUCCCUUUCCUCUCAGGUCCAGAACAUCCCAAGAUUCAGCUCAAACGCUUCCUCUCACAUAUUUUCUGAUUUCCUCCACUCAACGAAAUCUCGUAC